CGGUGAGCAAUCUGCCUUGGAGUGGGGAAUAACGGCUGGAAACAGCCGCUAAUACCGCAUGAUACAGCUGGGAGGCAUCUCCCUGGCUGUCAAAGAUUUAUCGCUCUGAGACGAGCUCGCGUCUGAUUAGCUAGGUUGGCGGGGUAACGGCCCACCAAGGCGACGAUCAGUAGCCGGACUGAGAGGUUGGCCGGCCACAUUGGGACUGAGACACGGCCCAGACUCCUACGGGAGGCAGCAG
This 241-nucleotide ribosomal RNA is filed under the name uncultured bacterium. RNAcentral describes it as "partial 16S ribosomal RNA". It matches the Rfam family "Bacterial small subunit ribosomal RNA", at positions 116 to 354 of the family's 1533-position model. The record is from RNAcentral.